GCGGGCAUCUUAUAAUGGAUAUUAUCUCAGCCUUCCAAGCUGAUAAUACGGGUUCGAUUCCCGUUGCCCGCUCCA
Molecule: transfer RNA, 75 nt
Filed under: Arsenophonus endosymbiont of Aleurodicus dispersus
Lineage: Bacteria; Pseudomonadati; Pseudomonadota; Gammaproteobacteria; Enterobacterales; Morganellaceae
Description: tRNA-Gly
Rfam family: tRNA
About the family: Transfer RNA (tRNA) molecules are approximately 80 nucleotides in length. Their secondary structure includes four short double-helical elements and three loops (D, anti-codon, and T loops). Further hydrogen bonds mediate the characteristic L-shaped molecular structure. tRNAs have two regions of fundamental functional importance: the anti-codon, which is responsible for specific mRNA codon recognition, and the 3' end, to which the tRNAs corresponding amino acid is attached (by aminoacyl-tRNA synthetases). tRNAs cope with the degeneracy of the genetic code in two manners: having more than one tRNA (with a specific anti-codon) for a particular amino acid; and 'wobble' base-pairing, i.e. permitting non-standard base-pairing at the 3rd anti-codon position.
Source: RNAcentral